RNAcentral lists this long non-coding RNA (1116 nucleotides) under Sinocyclocheilus anshuiensis. Its description in RNAcentral is "lncRNA (ENSSANG00000040901.1)". The record is from RNAcentral. Lineage: Eukaryota; Metazoa; Chordata; Actinopteri; Cypriniformes; Cyprinidae.
CGCGAAUUUUAACGGGGAGUCCCCCUCGAAAUGCGAUUGGGCUAGAUUUGAGUAACAAUUGGGCGGGUUUUGUUGUGAAAACCUGGCAACCCUGGCUGUAACGCUCCUCCGUGUUUAAUACUGUGUUUAGUGUAGUGAGCCGAGCACAUAUAUGCCGAGAUCUCUUCUAAAGCAGCUGUGUUUCGCAGAAUCUCUUUAGGAGCCCAACAUGCCUAAAAGAAAGAAAGCAGACAGGGAUGCAAAGGAUGAGCCUCAGAGGAGAUCUGCACGGUUAUCGGCAAGACCCGCUCCUGUGAAGACUGCACCCAAACCAAAAAAGACAGAUAAGAAAGACAAAGCAGCCAAUGUCAAAAAGGAGGAUAAAAAGACCAAGGUGAAGGCCAAGGAGAGCUCAGAGUCUGCAGCCAGCGAGGAGAACCACUCUGAAAAUUGAGAGGCCAAGACCAAAGCGGUCACACAGACUCAAAAAGAAACGAAGGAAGCGAAGUCUGAGUAGCACUCUUGCCUCUCAUCAACACUGUCGUCGCAGCUCCUCAUCAUUCCCAGUGUUGUGUCAUUGUCAACCUCCAAGGCAUAUUGUUCACAGAGAAAUAUUUUUAUCAAUGGUUUUAUAAGCAUCAGCAUGGAUUUUUAGCACAAACUGAAGCUAAAUGCUGAGCACCUUGUAGAUUUGCAGUGAUUGUUUCUGUGAGAAUGCCACACUAAAGGUAUUUUUAAAUGCCAUUUAUUGUUAUUGAUAACUUAUUUGGUCUAGAAAAAUCAGACGUCAUCAAGUUCUUAAAACACGGCUGAGGGAAAUCGUCUUUUUGUUUAAUCAUUUGUCCUAGAUUUUGGUGUAUUAUUAAUAACAGUGGGGGAUCACAACCUGUAAGCAGAGAUUUAAGAGAGCGGAUAUAUUUCACUGUCCCUUGCAAAAAAUAAAAUCUAAAGGUUAAUGGCAGCUUGUUAAAUGUUUUCAUGCAAAUAGUAAUUUUUUUACCAUGUGAUUCUGACGUGUUGAAGUCUGCAGGUUAUGAUGUACACUCUCUAAUGUUGCAGUGUCUGCUAAUAAAGAAAAUGGAAUUCCUCACUUUUGCCUCUCCCUUUUUUUUUAUUCAAAAACUAAACAGCAAUAAA